AUCAGCACGAACGGUCUUACCAGCCCCUUUCAAUAUGAUUAAAAAGAAAAAGACGAGAUCUUCAAAACCGUUGAACCGCCCAUGACCAGCCACAAACUUUGUACUAUGGAUGUUGUAUUUUCCCUUUUAUGCCUUCAAAUAGACUGCUAGCCUCUGCCUUAUCACCGCUUUGCAGCCGCGGUUCAAAGGCAGGGGAGGAGGAUGACGCCGACAACGUGGAACCAUGGGCUGACACUUGAGAUCCCACCAGAUAUGGUGGCCCCGCAUCUUCAAGUUUCCAAGGAGAGUCAACAUUUCAAAUAUUCUGUUCAGUCGUUAGAUCACUUAUUCUGAUUUGAGAGCACAGAACAGAUGUCACCUGAGGAAGAGUUUUGAAGCGAAUAAAUCCUUCGGUUGGCUCCUACA
This 405-nucleotide long non-coding RNA is filed under the name Ursus maritimus (polar bear). Its description in RNAcentral is "lncRNA (ENSUMAG00000005279.1)". Lineage: Eukaryota; Metazoa; Chordata; Mammalia; Carnivora; Ursidae. The record is from RNAcentral.